Molecule: non-coding RNA, 1088 nt
Organism: Neurospora crassa OR74A
Lineage: Eukaryota; Fungi; Ascomycota; Sordariomycetes; Sordariales; Sordariaceae
Source: RefSeq, a predicted model, not a curated record
AUGUACUGAUCUUACCGUAUUACACACCGAGGCUGUCCACUAGCUCUGUCGCUUUCGUUCCACUUUCCUGGAUCCUUGCUUGCAACGAAACACGUCCAUGGACGGACGGACGGACGGAUAGAUUUCGUGGAGACGAGGUUACCAAAGAUGGAAUACAGGGCGAACGUCAUUCGACUCGAGCAAACAAUCCGUCCUACCUUCAUCUGAGCCCAACACUUCCGAGCCAUCGAGUCAGGGGUUGUCUCAACGAACAAAUGAAUGAACGACAAUACCUUAAGGCGCAGCGGACGGGUUCAAUGGAACAGAGUGUCUGGAACUCUUCUCAGCAUUUAUACAGUGACAUGUGGUUGCUACUCCGAUGAGCUACGAAAGGACAACCCGCCAAGGCCAGCAAUGCCUCAAUCAACUAUCACUCAAACACGACCACAUCCCCUAGUGCCGAUGAUGACGACCGCGGUGAUGAUGACCAACACCUACAAGUACUAGCAAACGCAUCAAGCUAAGAUCGAUAUGUUCAACAUCUCUCAUUACCUCUAGGUACUUGAACUCCUCGGUCACCAGCUUGCCCCCACGGUGCCACCAUCCCAAGAGUGACUUCCUAAGAUACCCAGCAUUAGACAUCAUGGAUUCAUGGCAAAGAAAGGACAAGGACAAGGACCAGGUGGACAUGCUGUGUUUCCCCACAGCACACAAUACACUACACACCAACACACGACUUACACCACAGACUUAAACCAUACGUUCUUAUAUCCGCUCGCCUCGGCCUCGGCUUGAAGAUUUUAUGGUAUAAGUGUCAUGUACGAUCCAACUAGAAUCUUGAUCGUGGUGUCAUCAACUACGAGUUUGACUUUAAUGAACAACUACCUGCUCAGCAUCACGAAAAAAGAAGGGGGCGAUACCUACGAACUGGUGAGGAGCAAUAAGCAGCUAAGCCUCAUCGUUUUACUUGACGACGUAUAGACCUCGCAACGCAAAGGAUUGAAAAAGUCCACUUAUAGGGGAAUGCCGUCGACCACAUACAUACAUAAUGGUUAAUGAGCUUUUAUGGCUAUAGAGUAGUCGCAUACCUUUGACCUUUUGCCUCUCUU